CCUACGGGAGGCAGCAGUGGGGAAUAUUGCACAAUGGGCGAAAGCCUGAUGCAGCAACGCCGCGUGCGCGAUGAAGGCCUUCGGGUCGUAAAGCUCUGUUCUCAAGGAAGAUACUGGCGUUACUUGUGGAGGAAGCCCCGGGUAACUACGUGCAAGCAGCGGUGGUACUACGUAGGGGGCCAGCGUUAUCCGGAAUUACGGGGCGUAAAGGGUGCGUAGGUGGUUUCUUAAGUCAGAGGUGAACGGCUACGGCUAAACCGUAGUAAGCCGUGGAAACUGGGGAACUUGAGUGCAGGAGAGGAGGGUGGAAUUCCUAGUGUAGCGGUGAAAUGCGUAGAUAUUAGGAGGAACCCCAGUUGCGAAGGCAGCUCUCUGGAGUGUAACUGACGCUGAGGCACGAAAGCGUGGGGAGCAAACAGGAUUAGAUACCCUAGUAGUC
RNAcentral lists this ribosomal RNA (439 nucleotides) under uncultured bacterium. RNAcentral's name for it is "partial 16S ribosomal RNA". It matches the Rfam family "Bacterial small subunit ribosomal RNA", at positions 338 to 795 of the family's 1533-position model. The record is from RNAcentral.